CAAUUACCCUCAUUCCAAUCAUUGGAAUUCUUCACACAGAACUACCAUUCACAUUACGGUGUUUCACACAAACACAAACUCAUUCUCUCUGCUGAACUACAAUCAGAUUUUAGCAUUCAAUCUUUCUUCUUCUCAAAUAAUACUAAUCACAUUUCCAUUCCAUAAUUCACUUCACAAUAUUCAGAAACUCUCAAUCCUCUUAUUCAAAGAAAAUAACAAACAAAACAAAAGAGGUAGCACCAAGCUUACCCUGGCUCAAACUAUCACAGCGAUGGCCCUCAGCUCAUGACUAUCAAAGUCUGGCUUCUUAAUUAACUUCUACAACUCCUAUAUACUUUCUCUUGAUUCUCCAAAUUCUAAUCGUAAUUCUGUAAUUAAUCACUUUUAAGAACUAAAACACUCAUCCGUCUUCCUGAAUUUCCUAUUAUAUAGACUAUUAAUAUAUUUUACCAGUAUCUUUCAAAACGAAUUAAUAUCUAUUCUACAUAGCUCCACUCCUAUCUGUAUAGCGUCCUCGUAAACACUCAAUUGAUACCUAUUUAAAAACUACUUAACAAAUCUCUACAAAGUUACUAGUUCCUCUUACCUAUCUAAUUAAUCAAUUGCCACAGUAUCUAUUAUUGGUUCCAUCGAUUUAGAUUUUAACUGCAAAUCUUCGUGCUCUUUCAAUCCUUCCAUUGGCUCCUACCUCAACUGAGCUCAAAGAUCUUCAUUGAAUUUGCCCAGUUCACGGACUU
Molecule: long non-coding RNA, 737 nt
Filed under: Physcomitrium patens
Lineage: Eukaryota; Viridiplantae; Streptophyta; Bryopsida; Funariales; Funariaceae
Description: long non-coding RNA (PPAT_LNC010638)
Source: RNAcentral